Molecule: ribosomal RNA, 235 nt
Filed under: uncultured Candidatus Saccharibacteria bacterium
Lineage: Bacteria; Candidatus Saccharimonadota
Description: partial 16S ribosomal RNA
Rfam family: Bacterial small subunit ribosomal RNA
Source: RNAcentral
UAAGUAGGGCGUGAAAGCGUGUGGCUCAACCAUAUACACAUGUCCUAAACUGCUAAGCUAGAAUAUAGAAGAGGUCGCUGGAAUUCCUUGUGUAGGAGUGAAAUCCGUAGAUAUAAGGAGGAACACCGAUGGCGUAGGCAGGCGACUGGUCGAUUAUUGACACUAAGGCACGAAAGCGUGGGUAGCAAACGGGAUUAGAUACCCCGGUAGUCCACGCCGUAAACUAUGGAUGCUA